Ribosomal RNA from Cercocebus atys (sooty mangabey), 118 nucleotides. The record is from Ensembl. Lineage: Eukaryota; Metazoa; Chordata; Mammalia; Primates; Cercopithecidae.
GUCUACGCCAUACCAUCCUGAACAUGCCCGAUCUUGUGUGAUCUCGGAAGCUAAACAGGGUCACGCCUGAUUAGCACUUGGAUGGGAGACCACCUGGGCAUACAGGGUGCUGUAGGCU